GUUGCCGGUGACGUGCGACGGGUGAGUAAACGUGAGGAACUGCCCGAAGACGGACACACCGGGAACCGGUGGUUAAUACGGAUACUUCACCGGAUCGCAUGUUCUGGUGAAGAAAUGGAUUCCGCUUCGGGAUGGCUCGCGGCCUAUCAGCUUGUUGGUGAGGUAACGGCUCACCAAGGCGACGACGGGGUAGCUGGUCUGAGAGGAUGUCCAGCCACACUGGACUGAGACACGGCCCAGACUCCUACGGGAGGCAGCAGUUAGGAAUCUUGCGCAAUGGACGAAAGUCUGACGCAGCGACGCCGCGUGCGGGAUGAAGGCCUUCGGGUUGUAAAACCGCUUUCAGCAGGGACGAAAUUGACGGUACCUGCAGAAGAAGCCCCGGCCAACUACGUGCCAGCAAGCCCGGGCGGGGUUAAAUUUAACCGGGGUUUUAAAGGGGGGAGAGGAGGAGGGGCCCAAAGGCCGGUUUUGGGUUCCCCGGGGGUAUAUUUCAUUUGGGGGGCCGGUUAACAAAGGGAAGGCUUUCCGGGUUAAGGGGCCGGGUUCACGGGGUAAAAAGGUUCCGGGGGAAUUGGGUUGGAAAAAAU
RNAcentral lists this ribosomal RNA (590 nucleotides) under uncultured bacterium. Its description in RNAcentral is "bacterial SSU rRNA". The stretch from base 1 to 427 matches the Rfam family "Bacterial small subunit ribosomal RNA", at positions 85 to 546 of the family's 1533-position model. The record is from RNAcentral.